Molecule: long non-coding RNA, 5085 nt
Organism: Phacochoerus africanus (Common warthog)
Lineage: Eukaryota; Metazoa; Chordata; Mammalia; Artiodactyla; Suidae
Exons: 2
Source: RefSeq, a predicted model, not a curated record
GGGAACUCCAGUUGGAUUAUUUUCUGCUGAGCCACAGGGUAACUCCCAGUCCCUUCUUCAGGGGCUGAGGGACAGUCGGGUGCAGAGGCUUAGAUCUCUGGAGUCAGAGAGACCCAGGUUCCAAAUCCAUCUCUGUCCAUUACUCACUGGGCUGGGGUUACUGGUGUCCCCUCUGAGGCUCAGUUCUACCUCAUCUGUAAGAUGGGGAUGAUUCAGUUGGGCAGGCUAAUUAGAUGCAUACACACAAAGCACUGGCUUGUAGGAGGUGUUCAGUAAAAUCACCUUCACCUCCCACUCAGUGUUCCUGGCUGGCUGCUGCCCAGACCUUGGACAAAGGACAACAGCCCCUGCCCCACUCCCUAUCUCAGCCCCACUUUGGUACUGCAGUACCGUGGAUUACCACCAGGUGGCGUCUACCACACCUCAGCUCCCUGCUGCGCCAGGCUGCUACUUACAGACCUUAGCGAAUUUCCUUACUUUUCUUUUAUUGAUUUACUGUCGUCUUUAUUUUGGAUUAUACAGGAAGAGACAUCAUGGUUAUGUCAGGAUCCAGAGCUCUGUCCCUGGAACCAGCCCUGACCUCACCUUCCAGGGAGGAAGCAGGCUGAGCAGCCCUGGCCCAGGCAUCCUCCCCACCCCUGCUCUUCCUGGAAUUGGUGUCAAACGCAGGCAUGCAGACCCUGGUCCAGACAGACCUGGCUGAGUAGCUUUGUGAGUGGCAGCUUGUUGACUGUGGGUGUGACUGGUUCAUACCCACAGGUUGUUCGGUGGUCAAAUGUGUAUCUCAUCCUCCCUGAGGACUCGGAUAAUUUCCUAGGAAGCGCAUGGUGGCUGGGAGCACCCGGCCCUCUUUCCUGGAAUCAGUUUGUCCUAGGCCGAGAUAAGGCUCCAUGUAUUUGGCUAUGAGCAAGACCUACCCUAGCUGAGCCCUACAUCUCUGGAGUCAGACCCAGGUUCUAAUCCCAGCUCUGAGCCAGGUAGCAGGGGAGAAAUAAGUUGUGGUCAGACGUGAGGGAACAGGAACAGGCAGCAGGUAGGGGACGGAAAUUGGGCCCACCCAGUUCCCUAAGUGUGAGCAGAAGCUCCUGGGCCAGCUGUAAAAUAGCUGAUCCCAGGCAAGGCCCAGAAACCUGCUUUUCACGAGGUGAGAGCAGGCCAACUUGAGAUGGAAGACUUGUGGUCUGUGGUGCCUGGUAGGAGCUGGACCUGCUACCUGAAGUACUGAUGCCAACCGGAGAGCUACCUUCUCCCCCAGGAUGGGGCUGCCCUGUUUCCUUCUGCUUCUCUGAAGUUGUUGGUUAGGUGGGUAUAGGAAGGAGCUGGGACAAUAAGCAGGUGCCCCCCUUACCCCAGGAGACAUCUGACCACAUCCGGCUGUGAGGCAGCUCCCCGCGGCUCUGGUUUUCCAGCUCUGGGCUGGAAAGUGGGCUGCGGGUACAUGUCACCCGGUGAUGCUUGGGAAGCAAGAGCAGCAGCUCUGGUGGUUGAGGGCAGACACUGGGCCCUGGGAGGGAUGAUGGCAGAAGGCCUCAAAUCACACGUGCCAACCUCCCCCUUUCCCUCCAUCCUUCUGCCCCUGAACCAGCACUGGCUGCAUCACAAAGAAAAGAUGUUUCUGGGGCCAAUUUUAUUUUUCUUAAAACAUUUAUUUGGCAGUCCCCUCAGUAUAUCUCUGCACACACCCAGGAAUGUGGAGAACUCCCACGCUACACCCCGAGCCCUCCCUAGGCCUUGGUGACCAGGCCCCGCACGGCUCGUGCGAUGGCGUCCUUGUCAAUGCCGAACAUCUUCAGCAGCUCCGCGGGCUUCCCGCUUCUUGGCACCUGGCUGACAGCCAGGCGGGUGACAGUGACGUCAGGCUCACCCACCACUGCAGCAGCCACUGCCUCACCUAGGCCACCUGGACAAAGCAAAGGAGGUGAGUCAGGUGAUGCACCCUCAGGGUGAGCAGUGGGUGCAUCCCCAGAACCCCUGGCUGCCCCCCACCCGCAAUCAGUCUGAGUUUAUUCUGUCAUCCCCCAAGGAUGGGGGUUGGCACAUACACUGCCCUGCCCCACGCCUAUAGCCAGAGCAGAUGUCACCAACUGCAGUACGUAUCCUCUUCAUAAGCCCAGACGUGGCCUCUGCAUAAUUUUUCACCCUGUGCUCUGGGCAGUUGCACCCAGAGCACCUGCACUUGACCUCAGGGCCUAAGCCCAUCUCUUCCCCAGAGUGGACCUGCCGUGGAGGAGGCGGGUGGGAGGGUGCUCGUGCAGGGUGGCUUGGUGACAAACCCUUAAAAGACAAAUCUGUGUUGCCUUCCCCAUCUAAUGUGUGUAGCAGCCUUCACUUUUCACUACUUCAGGGGCCACCCUGUGCUCUUAGCCAGGCUGCAACCCUCACGGGCUUCCUGGGUUGGGCAGGGGCUCCAAGGAGCCAUUCCAGAGUUCUAGUAAGAGGCCAAGUCCCAGCUGCUCUGGGUUCCCUGGGCGGCAGCCCCCCAUCCUGGCAGUGGAGACGCUGGGUCCCAAGGCCCUGCUCUCUGGCCCAGGCCCGUCACCUUCGUAGUAGUGGUCCUCCACGGUGAGGAUCCUGCCCUUGGUCGCACGGGCACUGUCGAGAAUGAGCUUCCUGUCCAGGGGCUUGACGGUGAAAGGGUCCAACACACGGAUGUUGAUUUUCUCUGUGAGGAGAGAAGCAGCAGGUGGGCUGAAGGGAAGGAGCAGGGAGCCCUGUGGGGUCUUUGCUGGGUACCCUGAGGGGUGGCCUGUCACACCGAAACGAGCUCAGCCUGCUUCUGUCCAGACCAGCUGUCCCCUUAUGCCCGCUGUGCCUGCCCGCCCUCGAUGGCUCAUCCCCUCCUCUGCUGUGUGGGGCUGUGUCCUCCCCUCCCGGGAGCCUCGCUGGCCUCACUGAGGAGCAGCUGGUCACAGGGCAGAGGACGCCCCUCUCUCCCUCCCGCCCGGGGCUGCUGGUUCUCGGCCUUCGGGCUGCCUGGGAGCUUUCCUGUGUCCUCCUGGGUGUCUUUGAAGAUAAGAGGAAGUCACAGGGGAGGCUCCAAGGGCCUGACCCGAGGCAAGGCAAGGUCCUGUGGGUGGUGGUGGGGGAGCCGGGGCCAUCAAUUCAGGAGGUCACGCUACCAGGCCCCCUUCAAGCCCUCUCCCCAGACCCCAGCCUACCUGCUCCUGUCCUGGUCCUCCCCCAGCUCCUCAGCUUUGUUUCUUCUGCCUGAGAUGCAGUCCCUACUCAUACCUGAGAUCCUUUUCCUCAGGAUGCCACCCUCCCCUGCGUGCUCAGGCAGGACUGUGGUGCUGGUUGGGAUUCUACGCAGGGAGGCCAACGCCUGUCUUCCCCACCCUUGUGAGCUCGCUAUAAUAAUAAUAACGCCCAGUCACAUCUGGUAAAUCCUCAGGACAGCCCCCGGGGAAGGUGGUGGGACCUCCAGUGUGGAGAGGGAGACAGGGACGUGGAAUAACACCCUGGCAGGCUCCAGGCCCUUGGUCCUGGCCACCAUGCUGGGCGCCCAGGAGGUGCCCCAAGCCUGGCUUGCAUUCAUGCUCUCAUCACUGAGGUAGGUGAGAUUCGUGCUCACAAAAGGCCUGGUCUGCAAGCAGCGCCCCAUUUCCAACUGCACCUCGCUCACCCUUCUUACCUUUCUUGAGCAGGUCAGCAGCGGCCAAGGCCUCAUGCAGGGUCACCCCAGCCCCGAUCACGGUCACCUGGUCAUCUUUGCUCUUCAGGACCACCUGGGGCAGCAGGGGGGCGCCAGUUAGGCUCAGACUGGUGGCCUAGGGUGGGUCCCCAACCUUGGGCUCACCCUGCGGGGUCUCACUGGGGCAUAAACCGCACUGACCUUGGCUUGUCCAAUUUGGAAAUCUUCGUUGUUGUUAUAGAUGAUGGCGUUUUCUGGGCGGCUGGUCCGGAUAAAGCAGAUACCCUGGAGUGAAACAGUCACUGAGGAUUUCGGGAUGUAGCACAUCCAGCCUCUAGGAGCCUUUGCAGCAUGUGCCCCUCCAAACACUCCUCUGAAGAGAGCACCAGCCCCAAGCCCCAGAGGGAAGAUGACUGCUCCAUCAGGCGGACUGGCCUCCCAGAGAGGCCGCUCCCCUGUGGCUCGUCCCUGCCCUCGGCCAGCGGAACAUGAACCAUGCAGUACUCAGGUCAAGGCCACCAUUGGUCUCGGUUACCACAUUGCUCAGCUCCUUCUGUCUUGGAGAAUCCAACCCACGGGAGGGCAGAUAGGCAUCAACAGCCAGAUUGGCAAGGGCUGCCAGGAUGCUCAGUGGGGAAAGAGCGUGGUGAGCAAUUAGCAGUGUCUGCCCCGCAGAAGGAAGGGUGGUGUGUAUUUUGGUUUCCCUGGUCUAACUCCUCCAGGCUAUAACACCGGGGCCAAGGUCAGGAGACACCAUUCUGGUGCAGCAAAAGACAAGCUCUAGGCCUGCAUGCUGGCCUCCCUUCCCAAUCCUCUAUGGAAGGGCUAGCUGCCCAUGCAGAAAGCACAGCCCUGUGACCUACCUUUGUAUUGGCUGCUAAUUCCACUGCCUUCUCUGUAGCCACACCAUCGCUUGGGUAAAAGACAGUUGACAUGGGGACAGACCGAAACAUGGCCAGGUCUUCCAGGGCCAUCUGGGAGGGUCCAUCUUCCCCUGGGGUGUGGGAAAGGAUGGGCUGAAUUAAGACCCCAUCUGUGCAACGGGUUCCUGGCCUCACCCCCCCUCCCCCAAGUUCCAGAAGGUCCAGGGACGUCACAGGUAUUAAGCGCCCCGGCCCUGGCCCCUGCUCACCGAUGGACACGCCACAGUGGGAGCCGCAGAGGUUGAUGUUGCUCUCGGAGAUGGCCGCCAUGCGGAUCUGGUCGAAGGCCCGCGUGAAGAAGGCUGCGAAUGUGCUACAGAAGGGCACUGUCCUGUUGCGUGUGGCGCAGCCCACGGCGAUGCUCACCUGGGGGCAUAGUGGGUGGUGUUGGCCCCGAGGAGGGAGAGGCUGCUGUUAUCCUGACAAGUGUCAUUUCUCCUUGGCCCUUGCAAAUGAUGCUGGGUGUCCAUGGACUCUAGUCUGUUUCCAAAGUCCUCUGACUUGAAAUAAACCUUUCGAGUUCUCUGAAAA